Molecule: ribosomal RNA, 253 nt
Filed under: uncultured bacterium
Lineage: Bacteria
Description: partial 16S ribosomal RNA
Rfam family: Bacterial small subunit ribosomal RNA
Source: RNAcentral
UACAGAGGGUGCAAGCGUUAAUCGGAAUUACUGGGCGUAAAGCGCGCGUAGGCGGCUCUGCAAGUCGGGUGUGAAAUCCCCAGGCUUAACCUGGGAACUGCAUUCGAGACUGCAUUGCUAGAGUAUGGGAGAGGGAAGUGGAAUUUCCGGUGUAGCGGUGAAAUGCGUAGAUAUCGGAAGGAACAUCAGUGGCGAAAGCGACUUCCUGGACCAAUACUGACGCUAAUGUGCGAAAGCGUGGGGAGCAAACAGG